UAUAAAAAAAAUGAAUCACGCAUCACGUGACUUAUAUAUGGGAAAACCCCAAAUUUGUUCUGUGAUGAUUGUGCAAGAACGCUGGUUUUAUUCGUAAACUGUGAUUAUGAAGAUGACAAAAUGGAUCAAAUAACCUCCCAGUUAUGAUCAGAGAUUGAUUGUUGGGAACAUGUCCGUAGAUGUAGAUGUAGAUAACGAUAGUUUACUUAAUAUUGACAUUUCUAUUCGAAAAUGUGAAAUGACCUCAAAGUUAAAAUUGGAACAAAAUACAGAACAUACAAACGUUCAGUUUCUUGUUAUAUAACAUUGGAUCAGAGGUAAAUAAAUGCACUGACCUCCAGAUCGUACGACAACAAAACAGACAAUUUUCAGAUAUCAGGCGCAAGCAAAAAUUGAUGAUGACAACAGAGAAGUACCUGAUCUGGGACCAUCCAACUCUACAAGCUUCUUAAGUGAAAUCUAUCUUAACCCAGCAGAGACAGAAGACGUCUUUAAAUCAUUACAACUUCAUAAAGCCGCAGGUCCCGAUGGUAUUCACCAUCAACGGAAACGGCUCCUUACAGUGUUGAAUACACGUGUCACAUGAUGACAUCUUCAAGUAGCAGUUAGCAGUUUCCAGUCAUAGAUUCGAGUCGGCCGUUGCCAAAAUCUUACCUUAAAAUAAAGGUAAUUAGAAGGGCAUUAUCUACAAUAAAUGAAAUGAUUCAUUUACAUUGGAUGACAGCGGUCAUUGGCCUGCACAAUCUCAAGGAAGGGUUGCAGUAUUUUUGUGAUGAUGUAGUAAAAGAACUACAUGCUACAAUAAGGGAAAGAUGUCCCGAAAAUUGUAAUGUGUGUAAAUUGGAUAUACUUCAACCUAAUCACAAAUGCGUGGACAAAAGGUGUCCUCUAGGAUAUCAAAAUUGCAACUGCCGUAAAACAAAUACCGACCUUAUACCAUGUCCGAAAAGGAUUUGCGGCUUUAUAUAUGAUGAAAUUAUUAAGUUACAUGGAUCGACCCCUCCAGCGCCAAACUGGAAGAAUACAGAUAUCACCCAAUGGUGCACGAACCCUUGGGCCGUUGCCACAUGCUUUAUUCCAACUACAGGCUAUUUUGAUAGGAAAUGUGUAGCAGAGUUCGAUUGCUCCGGAUUAUUGCUACUUAUCAUGAACAACAAAGCCUUUCUUAAACAUCUUGACUGCAGCAUAGAUGGGAAUGACGCUUUCUCGCAGGCCUAUAAAAUAAGGAAUGAGUUGUUCCAUUCACCAUCACUAGAACUGAAGAAGGUACAGGCGGAUAUAUAUAUAUUGAUAAUAUGAUAAAGGUCCUGCAAGACAAAAGGGUGCUAGUCGGAAGGAAGGAAUCAAUCAAGGCCGUUGAAAAGUUGCUUGAUCUGAAAGAGAGGGGUAUUCAAAGAGAGUUGGAUGUGGAUAAAAUAAGCAACUUAAUAGAAACUGGUCAGCAAGAUUUGAUACAAUAUUUGCAGGAGAAACUAAGUAGCCUUUUGUUACAAACGCGUGAUCAGACUUCAGGAACACGAGACCCUGGAGUCACACAGAAACGGAAACUGGACACAUCUGUCGCAGAACAAGCAGACAAAGGAAAAAGUUUACAAGACUUAGCAUAUCAGGUCCAGUCGAUGUCAUCUGAAGUUGCUUCUAUA
Mercenaria mercenaria is the source of this 1643-nucleotide long non-coding RNA. RefSeq lists it as uncharacterized. Lineage: Eukaryota; Metazoa; Mollusca; Bivalvia; Venerida; Veneridae. The record is from RefSeq and is a predicted model, not a curated record. The transcript is spliced from 8 exons.